UCGAGCGGUAGCACAGAGAGCUUGCUCUCGGGUGACGAGCGGCGGACGGGUGAGUAAUGUCUGGGAAACUGCCUGAUGGAGGGGGAUAACUACUGGAAACGGUAGCUAAUACCGCAUAACGUCGCAAGACCAAAGUGGGGGACCUUCGGGCCUCAUGCCAUCAGAUGUGCCCAGAUGGGAUUAGCUAGUAGGUGGGGUAACGGCUCACCUAGGCGACGAUCCCUAGCUGGUCUGAGAGGAUGACCAGCCACACUGGAACUGAGACACGGUCCAGACUCCUACGGGAGGCAGCAGUGGGGAAUAUUGCACAAUGGGCGCAAGCCUGAUGCAGCCAUGCCGCGUGUAUGAAGAAGGCCUUCGGGUUGUAAAGUACUUUCAGCGGGGAGGAAGGCGAUAAGGUUAAUAACCUUGUCGAUUGACGUUACCCGCAGAAGAAGCACCGGCUAACUCCGUGCCAGCAGCCGCGGUAAUACGGAGGGUGCAAGCGUUAAUCGGAAUUACUGGGCGUAAAGCGCACGCAGGCGGUCUGUCAAGUCGGAUGUGAAAUCCCCGGGCUCAACCUGGGAACUGCAUUCGAAACUGGCAGGCUAGAGUCUUGUAGAGGGGGGUAGAAUUCCAGGUGUAGCGGUGAAAUGCGUACAGAUCUGGAGGAAUACCGGUGGCGAAUGCGGCCCCCUGGACGCUCACUGACGCUCAGGUGCUAAAGCGUGGGGAGCAUACAGGAGGACAUACUCGGUAGUCCACGCCGUAAACGAUGUCGAUUUGGAGGUUGUGCCCUUGAGGCGUGGCUUCCGGAGCUAACGCGUUAAAUCGACCGCCUGGGGAGUACGGCCGCAAGGUUAAAACUCAAAUGAAUUGACGGGGGCCCGCACAAGCGGUGGAGCAUGUGGUUUAAUUCGAUGCA
This 904-nucleotide ribosomal RNA is filed under the name Klebsiella sp. Its description in RNAcentral is "bacterial SSU rRNA". It matches the Rfam family "Bacterial small subunit ribosomal RNA", at positions 62 to 958 of the family's 1533-position model. The record is from RNAcentral. Lineage: Bacteria; Pseudomonadati; Pseudomonadota; Gammaproteobacteria; Enterobacterales; Enterobacteriaceae.